This 253-nucleotide ribosomal RNA is filed under the name uncultured bacterium. RNAcentral describes it as "partial 16S ribosomal RNA". It matches the Rfam family "Bacterial small subunit ribosomal RNA", at positions 524 to 776 of the family's 1533-position model. The record is from RNAcentral.
GACGAACCGUGCGAACGUUGUUCGGAAUCACUGGGCUUAAAGGGCGCGUAGGCGGGUCAUCAAGUCCGGGGUGAAAUCUUUCGGCUCAACCGGAAAAGUGCCUUGGAUACUGGUGGUCUUGAGUGAGGUAGGGGCAUGUGGAACUUCCGGUGGAGCGGUGAAAUGCGUUGAUAUCGGAAGGAACUCCGGUGGCGAAAGCGACGUGCUGGACCUCUUCUGACGCUGAGGCGCGAAAGCUAGGGGAGCGAACGGG